Molecule: microRNA, 21 nt
Filed under: Ornithorhynchus anatinus (platypus)
Lineage: Eukaryota; Metazoa; Chordata; Mammalia; Monotremata; Ornithorhynchidae
Description: oan-miR-181b-1-3p
Gene: oan-miR-181b-1-3p
Source: miRBase by way of RNAcentral
CUCACUGAACAAUGAAUGGAA